This 68-nucleotide transfer RNA is filed under the name Abispa ephippium (large potter wasp). Its description in RNAcentral is "tRNA-Phe". The record is from RNAcentral. Lineage: Eukaryota; Metazoa; Arthropoda; Insecta; Hymenoptera; Vespidae.
AUUUAAAUAGCUUAAGUUAAUAGAGUUUAAUAUUGAAGAUAUUAAGAUGAUUGGAUAAUCUUUAAAUA